This is a non-coding RNA of Podarcis lilfordi (Lilford's wall lizard), 110 nucleotides long. The record is from the annotation of a GenBank genome assembly. Lineage: Eukaryota; Metazoa; Chordata; Lepidosauria; Squamata; Lacertidae.
AGUUGAAAAGGAGAGUUUUUCUCUUAGACAUUUUGUUUGCUGAGAAAGCAGAAUGUAGGGUGCUCUCAGCACACAAAAUGCCUAAGAGAAAAACUCUCCUUUUCAACUUC